GCUUGUCUCAAAGAUUAAGCCAUGCAUGUCUAAGUAUAAGCCUUUAUAUGGUGAGACUGCGAAUGGCUCAUUAAAUCAGAAACUGUUUAUUUGAUAGUGCCUACUACAUGGAUACCUGUAGUAAUUCUAGAGCUAAUACAUGCGUCAAUGCCCGACUUUGGAAGGGCUGUGUUUAUUAGAUCCAAAACCAAUGCGGGGCAACCCGGUUACUGGUGAUUCAUAAUAACCUAUCGGACCGAAUGGCCUUGCGCCGUCGGUGCAUCAUUCAAAUUUCUGCCCUAUCAAUUUGUUGGUAGUAUAUAGGACUACCAAGAUGAUUACGGGUAACGGAGAAUUAGGGUUUGAUUCCGGAGAGGGAGCCUGAGAAACGGCUACCACAUCUAAGGAAGGCAGCAGG
This 397-nucleotide ribosomal RNA is filed under the name Nutomonas limna. RNAcentral describes it as "Ancyromonas limna partial small subunit ribosomal RNA". It matches the Rfam family "Eukaryotic small subunit ribosomal RNA", at positions 30 to 432 of the family's 1831-position model. Lineage: Eukaryota; Ancyromonadida; Planomonadidae. The record is from RNAcentral.